AGACCUAUCGUACAAUGGUUCAGUACGUCUGACUUUGACUCAGAAAAUGUUGGUUCGACUCCAGCUAGGUCUACAA
This 76-nucleotide transfer RNA is filed under the name Chryseobacterium sp. RNAcentral's name for it is "tRNA-Gln". It matches the Rfam family "tRNA". Rfam says of the family: Transfer RNA (tRNA) molecules are approximately 80 nucleotides in length. Their secondary structure includes four short double-helical elements and three loops (D, anti-codon, and T loops). Lineage: Bacteria; Pseudomonadati; Bacteroidota; Flavobacteriia; Flavobacteriales; Weeksellaceae. The record is from RNAcentral.